UCUGCUAUUGUAAAAGGUGCCUUAGGGGCCCACGCUCUGGUGAGUUGUGGGCCCUUCCGUGCAAACCCAUCCGUGUACCUUUCCUGUUGCCUCCGUGGGUGCCCUCGGUGCCCGCGGGGGGUUAUAGAGAAAACUAUUUUUUGCUUCCUCAUGUCAUCAUGUCUGAAAGUGACCAGAAAACAAAAAGAUUCA
RNAcentral lists this unclassified non-coding RNA (192 nucleotides) under uncultured fungus. RNAcentral's name for it is "sequence contains ITS1". The record is from RNAcentral. Lineage: Eukaryota; Fungi.